This 274-nucleotide ribosomal RNA is filed under the name uncultured bacterium. RNAcentral's name for it is "partial 16S ribosomal RNA". It matches the Rfam family "Bacterial small subunit ribosomal RNA", at positions 523 to 796 of the family's 1533-position model. The record is from RNAcentral.
AUACGGAGGGUGCAAGCGUUACUCGGAAUCACUGGGCGUAAAGCGCGCGCAGGCGGCUAUUUAAGUUGGAUGUGAAAGCCUACGGCUCAACCGUAGAACUGCAUCCAAAACUAUUUAGCUAGAGUGUGGGAGAGGAAGAUGGAAUUAGUUGUGUAGGGGUAAAAUCCGUAGAGAUAACUAGGAAUACCAAAAGCGAAGGCAAUCUUCUGGAACACUACUGACGCUGAGGCGCGAGAGCGUGGGGAGCAAACAGGAUUAGAAACCCUAGUAGUCC